ACGGAGGGUGCAAGCGUUAAUCGGAUUUAUUGGGCGUAAAGAGCGUGUAGGCGGGCUGAAAGGUCUGGUGUGAAAGCCCGGGGCUCAACCCCGGAGGGUCACUGGAAACCAUCAGUCUUGAAUCUGGAAGAGGAGAGUGGAAUUCCUGGUGUAGCGGUGGAAUGCGCAGAUAUCAGGAGGAACACCAAUGGCGAAGGCAGCUCUCUGGUACAUGAUUGACGCUGAGACGCGAAAGCGUGGGGAGCGAACAGGA
Molecule: ribosomal RNA, 253 nt
Filed under: uncultured prokaryote
Description: partial 16S ribosomal RNA
Rfam family: Bacterial small subunit ribosomal RNA
Source: RNAcentral